AUGCAGGCCAUCAAGUGGUUAACAUAGAGACAUUAUUUAAAUCCUCGGGACUGGAUGAGAUUACCAAGGGAGGAAAUGUAGAUGAACAAGAAGAGAAAGGACUGAGUUCUGGAGCACUACAAAUUUAAGAGACUGGGGAAAAGAGGAGAAACCCAGAA
This 158-nucleotide long non-coding RNA is filed under the name Saimiri boliviensis boliviensis (Bolivian squirrel monkey). RNAcentral's name for it is "lncRNA (ENSSBOG00000036709.1)". Lineage: Eukaryota; Metazoa; Chordata; Mammalia; Primates; Cebidae. The record is from RNAcentral.